This 72-nucleotide transfer RNA is filed under the name Draco blanfordii. RNAcentral describes it as "tRNA-Gln". The record is from RNAcentral. Lineage: Eukaryota; Metazoa; Chordata; Lepidosauria; Squamata; Agamidae.
ACCAAACAACUACACUUAGACAGAGAGGACUCGAACCUCCACAUAAAAGUCCAAAACUCUUCGUACUCCCAA